RNA transcript from Arabidopsis thaliana (thale cress), 570 nucleotides. RefSeq lists it as uncharacterized. The transcript is spliced from 2 exons. The record is from RefSeq. NCBI's taxonomy places the organism in Eukaryota, Viridiplantae, Streptophyta, Magnoliopsida, Brassicales, Brassicaceae.
CUCCACCUCUUGCUUCUAUAUAACUCAUCUCAUAUGUCUCUAUAAAAUCCCACUAAAUUUUAUGUCUUGCUAAUCUUAAGUUUUUUAAGGAAAAACAAAAAACAAAUAUGAGCUAUAAUACAAAGUUAGUAGUUCUCAUUUUUCUUCUUUUCACUAUCACCUCCACUGAUGUAUCAAACGCCACCCCUCGUCAUUUUGUGAAUCUCAGGUCGGAGAAGGAGGAUGUCAAAAUAAAGGAGAGAGAGCUUGUGGAGUUUCAUCUAGACUAUGCAAGAACAGGAGCCAAUCAAGAUCAUGAACCAGGGAAAGGAAGACCAUAAAAGUUAACUUAAACCAAUUCAAAAAAUAAUCCAUAAACGUAUAUAUACUAUUUUUACCAAUAUGCUUUUUGUACGUGGAAAAAAUCAUGCAUACAUAUAUGAUGUAAUGGACCAAGCUUUUGGGAAAUAUUAAAGUUUUUUUUUUUUGUGCAAAAGGGAAAUAUUAAAGUUAUAAAAGAAAAAGAUAUGUAUGCAUGCAUAUAAAUUAAGGUUUUAUCAUGUGAGAUAUUGAUUUUAAGUCAUUGACAUU